AAGUCGUAACAAGGUCUCCGUUGGUGAACCAGCGGAGGGAUCAUUACCGAGUUUACAACUCCCAAACCCCUGUGAACAUACCUUAAUGUUGCCUCGGCGGAUCAGCCCGCGCCCCGUAAAACGGGACGGCCCGCCAGAGGACCCAAACUCUAAUGUUUCUUAUUGUAACUUCUGAGUAAAACAAACAAAUAAAUCAAAACUUUCAACAACGGAUCUCUUGGUUCUGGCAUCGAUGAAGAACGCAGCAAAAUGCGAUAAGUAAUGUGAAUUGCAGAAUUCAGUGAAUCAUCGAAUCUUUGAACGCACAUUGCGCCCGCUGGUAUUCCGGCGGGCAUGCCUGUUCGAGCGUCAUUUCAACCCUCAAGCCCUCGGGUUUGGUGUUGGGGAUCGGCUCUGCCUUCUGGCGGUGCCGCCCCCGAAAUACAUUGGCGGUCUCGCUGCAGCCUCCAUUGCGUAGUAGCUAACACCUCGCAACUGGAACGCGGCGCGGCCAUGCCGUAAAACCCCAACUUCUGAAUGUUGACCUCGGAUCAGGUAGGAAUACCCGCUGAACUUAAGCAUAUCAAUAAG
RNAcentral lists this ribosomal RNA (570 nucleotides) under Fusarium avenaceum. Its description in RNAcentral is "eukaryotic LSU rRNA". The stretch from base 198 to 351 matches the Rfam family "5.8S ribosomal RNA". The record is from RNAcentral. Lineage: Eukaryota; Fungi; Ascomycota; Sordariomycetes; Hypocreales; Nectriaceae.